GGGCCGGUAGUUCAGUUGGGAGAAUACUACGUUCGCAACGUAGGGGUCGGGAGUUCGAAUCUCCUCCGGUCCA
RNAcentral lists this transfer RNA (73 nucleotides) under Candidatus Omnitrophota bacterium. Its description in RNAcentral is "Candidatus Omnitrophica bacterium tRNA-Ala". It matches the Rfam family "tRNA". Rfam says of the family: Transfer RNA (tRNA) molecules are approximately 80 nucleotides in length. Their secondary structure includes four short double-helical elements and three loops (D, anti-codon, and T loops). Lineage: Bacteria; Pseudomonadati; Candidatus Omnitrophota. The record is from RNAcentral.